GUGGAUAAUCUAUAUAUUAUUAGUGAACAAAGCUCAUGGAAUGGAAUCUCUUCAAAGAAGAAAAAUGAUUUCUCUUCAUCAGAUCAUAGACAGAACAUCUUAUGUGUCCUACAGAUGUUUAGAAAACAAUUUUUUUCACGGUUUCAAAAUUAUCAUGAAAGAAUAAUCCCAUGUCAUUGUGUGUACUGGUGACAUGAAGUGACUUUUUCAGGGCUGUAUUUGAAGUAAACAUGAAAGAGAUGAUGGCAGUGGUACUGUUACUGACUUGUCCUCCAAAGCAGUAGGGACAUCUCUAGAUUAUGCCUGUUCUGGAAAACAAGAAUAACAGAUGCUAACAUGGCGAUGUUCUUCCAGUUGUCAUCGUUUCUUCAGGUUCCUUUCCUGUCUGGAGCUCACAGUGACUUUGUAACAAAAAGCACCAAU
This 423-nucleotide long non-coding RNA is filed under the name Mus musculus (house mouse). RNAcentral describes it as "long non-coding RNA chr6:38396266-38396689". The record is from RNAcentral. Lineage: Eukaryota; Metazoa; Chordata; Mammalia; Rodentia; Muridae.